GAUGAACGCUAGCUACAGGCUUAACACAUGCAAGUCGAGGGGCAGCAGCAAAGUUAGCUUGCUAACUUUAGAUGGCGACCGGCGGAUGGGUGAGUAACACGUAUCCAACCUGCCGCGCACAGCGGGAUAGGCUUUCAAAAGAAAGGUUAAUACCGCAUGGUUCAUGAAGGCCGCAUGGUUUUUAUGAUAAAAAUUUAUCGGUGCGCGAUGGGGAUGCGUUCCAUUAAACAGCAGGCGGGGUAACGGCCCACCUGGUCCACGAUGGAUAGGGGUUCUGAGAGGAAGGUCCCCCACAUUGAAACUGAGACACGGCCCAAACUCCUACGGGAGGCAGCAGUGAGGAAUAUUGGUCAAUGGGCGAGAGCCUGAACCAGCCAAGUAGCGUGCAGGAAGACGGCCCUAUGGGUUGUAAACUGCUUUUGAAGGGAAAUAAAGUGGCCCACGUGUUGGGUUUUUGUAUGUACCUUUCAAAUAAGGAUCGGCUAACUCCGUG
Molecule: ribosomal RNA, 493 nt
Filed under: uncultured bacterium
Lineage: Bacteria
Description: bacterial SSU rRNA
Rfam family: Bacterial small subunit ribosomal RNA
Source: RNAcentral